This 1301-nucleotide ribosomal RNA is filed under the name Hirschmanniella oryzae. Its description in RNAcentral is "eukaryotic LSU rRNA". The stretch from base 1 to 191 matches the Rfam family "Eukaryotic small subunit ribosomal RNA", at positions 1641 to 1831 of the family's 1831-position model. Lineage: Eukaryota; Metazoa; Nematoda; Chromadorea; Rhabditida; Pratylenchidae. The record is from RNAcentral.
UUGAUUACGUCCCUGCCCUUUGUACACACCGCCCGUCGCUGCCCGGGACUGAGCCGUUUCGAGAAACUUGUCGACUGCUGAUUUGGUACCUUCGGUUGCCAUUUCGGUGGGAACCAAUUUAAUCGCAGUGGCUUGAACCGGGCAAAAGUCGUCCCAAGGUAGCUGUAGGUGAACCUGCUGCUGGAUGAUUACAUGAUACCGUGAUGGUCAACCUAUUUGACCAGCUUGUGUACGUGACUCUUGUACACUGGCCAGCCGCCAUUACUUGCUUCUGGUAAUGGAUGGGUACGGCUAACGUUGGCGUCUAAGUGUUGCUGAGCUCUUGUCUUCGUCCGUGGCUGUGAUGAGGCAGCAUGUUAGGACCAAUGCUUUUGUCUGAUGAGCAUGUGGUUUAAGACUUAAUGAGACUUUUGCCUCAAGGCCGCCAACAUUUUGUUUUUUUUAUUAUUUUUCCAUAAACUAAAAUUCUAGUCUUAUCGGCGGAUCACUCGGCUCGUAGGUCUAUGAAGAACGCAGCUAACUGCGAUAAUUAGUGUGAACUGCAGAAACCAUGAACACAACACUUUCGAAUGCACAUUGCGCCAUUGGAAUCUUGUCCUUUGGCACGCCUGGUUCAGGGUCGUAAACCUAAUACGCGUGCCCCUUGCGUUUAUUAUUGUGAAUUCAUUCUACUGCUAUGCUGUGUUUCUUUGCACUGCAAUGGAUUGUUUUCGCAUUUUUGUUAACAUGAGUGCAGGAUUGCUUUAGGAGGCAUGGGUGUAUGGACCAGUUACGUUGUUUCUACCAUGGUUGUGACGCCUAACGGAGGAUAAGGGUUCGACUCCGGAGAAGCCGCCUGAGGAGGUAGUGACGAGCUAUAACAAGACCGUUCUCUUCAGAGGCCGGUCAUUGGAAUGGGUAUUUGGCGCUGUGCCUUUCAUCGGGUGCAGUGUAAAGUGCAGCAAGUUUACCUUGAACAAAUCAGAGUGCUUCCCACAGGCGUUUCGCUUGAAUGUUCGUGCAUGGAAUAAUAGAAGAGGAUCAGAUACCGCCCUAGUUCUGACCGUAAACGAUGCCAACUAGUGAUCCGCCGGUUGGAGCGUUCAACCGAUUCACGCCGUGUUUGCUUCAUGGCUAUUGCUUUGUUUCGUGCUUUAGUCAUCUGCAUGUCUCUUCGGGUUACCUGUCUCAGCAUCGUGUCUGUUGAUGCAAUUUUUUAUUAUUCGACCUGAACUCAGACGUGAUUACCCGCUGAACUUAAGCAUAUCAGUAAGCGGAGGAAAAGAAACUAACAAGGAUUCCCUUAGUAACGGCGAGUGAAA